UACGUAGGGGGCAAGCGUUGUCCGGAUUUAUUGGGCGUAAAGAGCGUGUAGGCGGUUUGGUAGGUCCGCUGUGAAAACUCGAGGCUCAACCUCGAGACGCCGGUGGAAACCAUCAGACUAGAGUCCGGAAGAGGAGAGUGGAAUUCCUGGUGUAGCGGUGAAAUGCGCAGAUAUCAGGAAGAACACCCGUGGCUAAGGCGGGUCUCUGGGGCCGAUAUUGACGCUGAGGAGCGAAAGCGUGGGGAGCGAACAGG
Molecule: ribosomal RNA, 254 nt
Filed under: uncultured bacterium
Lineage: Bacteria
Description: partial 16S ribosomal RNA
Rfam family: Bacterial small subunit ribosomal RNA
Source: RNAcentral